Molecule: ribosomal RNA, 750 nt
Filed under: uncultured Glomeromycotina
Lineage: Eukaryota; Fungi; Glomeromycota
Description: SSU rRNA
Rfam family: Eukaryotic small subunit ribosomal RNA
Source: RNAcentral
GGCCUWCCAUGGUGGUAACGGGUAACGGGGUGUUAGGGCACGACACCGGAGAGGGAGCCUGAGAAACGGCUACCACAUCCAAGGAUGGCAGCAGGCGCGCAAAUUACCCAAUCCCAACACGGGGAGGUAGUGACAAUAAAUAACAAUACGGGGUCCUUUCGGGUUUCGUAAUUGGAAUGAGUACAAUUUAAAUCUCUUAACGAGGAACAAUUGGAGGGCAAGUCUGGUGCCAGCAGCCGCGGUAAUUCCAGCUCCAAUAGCGUAUAUUAAAGUUGUUGCAGUUAAAAAGCUCGUAGUUGAAUUUCGGGAUUAGUACGUCGGUCGUGCCUUAGGUACGUACUGGUGUUACUGGUUCCUACCUUCUGACGAACCAUCAUGUCAUUAAUUUGGUGUGGUGGGGAAUCAGGACUGUUACUUUGAAAAAAUUAGAGUGUUUAAAGCAGGCUCGCGCUUGAAUACAUUAGCAUGGAAUAAUGAAAUAGGACGUUGAUCCUAUUUUGUUGGUUUCUAGGAUUGACGUAAUGAUUAAUAGGGAUAGUUGGGGGCAUUAGUAUUCAAUUGUCAGAGGUGAAAUUCUUGGAUUUAUUGAAGACUAACUACUGCGAAAGCAUUUGCCAAGGAUGUUUUCAUUAAUCAAGAACGAAAGUUAGGGGAUCGAAGACGAUCAGAUACCGUCGUAGUCUUAACCAUAAACUAUGCCGACUAGGGAUCGGAUGAUGUUAUUUUUAAUGACUCAUUCGGCGCCUUACG